CUACGGGACGCUGCAGUGAGGAAUAUUGCACAAUGGGGGGAACCCUGAUGCAGCAACGCCGCGUGGAGGAUGACGCCUUUCGGUGUGUAAACUCCUUUUAUAUGUCAAGAAAAUGACGGUAGCAUAUGAAUAAGCACCGGCUAACUCCGUGCCAGCAGCCGCGGUAAUACGGAGGGUGCAAGCGUUACUCGGAAUCACUGGGCGUAAAGGACGCGUAGGCGGGUUGGAAAGUCAGGUGUGAAAUCCUACAGCUUAACUGUAGAACUGCACUUGAAACUUCUAAUCUAGAGUAUGGGAGGGGGAGAUGGAAUUAGUGGUGUAGGGGUAAAAUCCGUAGAUAUCACUAGGAAUACCUAAAGCGAAGGCGAUCUCCUGGAACAUUACUGACGCUACUGCGUUAAAGCGUGGCGAGCAAACUGGAUUAGAUACCCCAGUAGUC
RNAcentral lists this ribosomal RNA (439 nucleotides) under uncultured bacterium. RNAcentral describes it as "partial 16S ribosomal RNA". It matches the Rfam family "Bacterial small subunit ribosomal RNA", at positions 339 to 795 of the family's 1533-position model. The record is from RNAcentral.